GUGCAGCAGGCGCGAAUUUUUCACAAUGGGGGAAACCCUGAUGGAGCGACGCCGCGUGGAGGAUGAAGGCCUUUUGGUCGUAAACUCCUGUCAAACGGGAACAAGAAAGUGAUAGUACCGUUAGAGGAAGAGACGGCUAACUCUGUGCCAGCAGCCGCGGUAAUACAGAGGUCUCAAGCGUUGUUCGGAUUCAUUGGGCGUAAAGGGUGCGUAGGUGGCAUGGUAAGUUGAAGGUGAAAUCUCGGAGCUUAACUCCGAAACUGCCUUCAAUACUGCUGUGCUUGAGGACUGUAGAGGAGAAUGGAAUUCAUGGUGUAGCAGUGAAAUGCGUAGAUAUCAUGAGGAAGACCAGUGGCGAAGGCGAUUCUCUGGGCAGUUCCUGACACUGAGGCACGAAGGCUAGGGGAGCAAACGGGAUUAGAUACCCGGGUAGU
RNAcentral lists this ribosomal RNA (434 nucleotides) under uncultured organism. RNAcentral describes it as "bacterial SSU rRNA". It matches the Rfam family "Bacterial small subunit ribosomal RNA", at positions 346 to 794 of the family's 1533-position model. The record is from RNAcentral.